CCCGCCAGAGUGGGAGGACACGGACAAGUUGCUACACGCGUUGGAUAGGAAAAAGCAGCGGAAGAUCAAGGAUUGGGCCAACCAUCACAGGAAGUAUGUCGUACAGUUCGCGCUUAGUGUGGAGCAAGCAAGGGCUGGAAAACGAGCCCAGCUUCGUGAGCACUGCCCGAUCGCGUUCAACAACUAUCUCACAUGGUUUCUUGCAAGUACCCGCGUGGAGGUAUGCAAGCCGGCGUAUGCUGAGGAGAUUCUGGAAGAACCCACCGUUUUUGAUGAGGUAGCCCAGCACCAGUACAACGCAUUUGUCAGGAAAGGCAACUCAGUGAUCCCUUCAGCUCCAAUGAUGAACUUUGUGGUUUACCCUUUUUGCUUUUCCAUUCGCACUAUUCACAUCUUCGCUUGCCUAACACUUUGAUACCGUUUUUGUUCAUAGCGUGCCCAAAUCAAGAAAGCAGCUGAUGAGACCGAGACUAUUCUGGAAACAACCCCGGCUGGCAAAAGCGAUGGGGAAGGUGCACUUCGAGCAUUCAUUAAGCGCCAGGGCCAAAAGUUAAGGCG
Non-coding RNA from Aegilops tauschii subsp. strangulata, 558 nucleotides. The record is from RefSeq and is a predicted model, not a curated record. Lineage: Eukaryota; Viridiplantae; Streptophyta; Magnoliopsida; Poales; Poaceae.